GUGGGGAAUUUUGGACAAUGGGGGCAACCCUGAUCCAGCCAUGCCGCGUGCGGGAAGAAGGCCUUCGGGUUGUAAACCGCUUUUGUCAGGGAAGAAAUCCUUUGGGUUAAUACCUCGGAGGGAUGACGGUACCUGAAGAAUAAGCACCGGCUAACUACGUGCCAGCAGCCGCGGUAAUACGUAGGGUGCGAGCGUUAAUCGGAAUUACUGGGCGUAAAGUGUGCGCAGGCGGUUUUGUAAGAUCGAUGUGAAAUCCCCGGGCUCAACCUGGGAACUGCAUUGGUGACUGCAAGGCUGGAGUGCGGCAGAGGGGGAUGGAAUUCCGCGUGUAGCAGUGAAAUGCGUAGAUAUGCGGAGGAACACCGAUGGCGAAGGCAAUCCCCUGGGCCUGCACUGACGCUCAUGCACGAAAGCGUGGGGAGCAAACAGGAUUAGAUACCCGAGUAGUCC
RNAcentral lists this ribosomal RNA (450 nucleotides) under uncultured bacterium. RNAcentral's name for it is "partial 16S ribosomal RNA". It matches the Rfam family "Bacterial small subunit ribosomal RNA", at positions 354 to 796 of the family's 1533-position model. The record is from RNAcentral.